AUGUCUUCGCCGAGCAGAGUGGGAGGAGGAGUUCAGGUAGGUUAUUGUAGUGGUCAUAAUGAUAAACCAAUUGGCUCUCGUUGUCCUGGUGGUAAGGAUCAUGUUGAUGAGGGAGGACAUCAAAUGAAUUCGCCAAUUGAAUCUUCUCCCAUAAGUGUGGCCCCUCCUUCUGUGUCUGUUUUCUAUGCUGGGGCACCUGGGUUUGAGGAGCAAAGCAAGAAGAAGUUGAUGUUUGAAAGUGACUCAAAAGAGUUUGCGGAGAAGGAGAAGCAGAGGAGAGCUGCAGAUGGUGCCAAGGGUGCCAAAUUUGUUAAAGUGAAGCAUCCUGCUUUGCAGAAGAAGAGGAUGAGUUAUGUUGCUGAGGAAUGUGGUACUCCUCGGCGGAGUCCACGUGUUUCUGACAUGAACAAGAAUCUUGGUAAGAGAACUACUGAAGCUGGUGGAAAUGAUCCUCAGCGCAAGCGACUACAUGUCAGUGAAGGUCCCAACUCUGACGAUGACGAAUUUAUGCUUGCUGAUUCUGUGAGGGAUGUUCAUACUAGUAGAUACAAAGACUGUGGUUCAACUAAGAGUCUACCCAAGCGUGCUCGUGAUGAUGGCGAUGAAUGUGUUGGUGCUAACUCUGGCGAGGAGGCGGAUGUUGUUCCAAGGAUUGUUGAAGUGGACUGCAUUUGUUUCCUUCAUUGUUAUUCUAUGAAGAAGUCUAGUAAGAGCAAUGCAACUGAAGAUGAUGCCGAGGGAUAUGAUUCUCGAUUUACCAAGACCGUACGUUUGUCGCUUCCCACUGUUUGCAAGGUUGCUGCUUUAUUGAAAGACGCACACUGUAGCCAUGUUCGGGAUGCUGGAUUCAAUGUUGUCUUUGAAUUGACAGUAAAGAAAAAUGUGUUGCGCAUUCUUAUGUGCUAUCUGAUGGGAGUGAUUGACCCUGCCACCAUGAUAAUGGACUUUGGGAAUGGCAGGGUUCUUGAAAUCAAUAGUGAUGCAGUUCAUCACAUUUUUGAUUUACCUAUGGGACGUCACACUGCACCCAUGCCUGCUGCCAGCGGCCAUGAUGACUCGUUGACCGCCCUCAAGGAUGAGCUUGGAUUUGACCUUUCAAAAAGUAUAGGUGUGAAGGACUUGCUUGAGAAGUUGAAGGUGUUGGUGGAGGAAGAUGAUCAUGUGACUAUUGAUCUUGCUGUGAAGGUGUUCUUCCUGAUAGUUUACCAGAAUUUGCUGUGCCCCGGGCUUGCAGUUCGUUUGGGUAGAGUUGCUGCAAUGGUAGAGAACAUGGAUUAUGCGGCUAUGGCGCAAAUGGACUUUUGCCAGCUUGUUGUUGAUGAGUUGCAUGCAGCUGUGCUUCACAAAAUUUUAGUUAUGCACACGUUAACGCCACGAGUGUCAUACCUGACGACCAAGGACCUGAUGAAGUUAUACAAUGAGGAUGUGCUUGUCAAGGCAAAGAUUUACUUGGAAACUGACAAAUUUGGGAAGCUGCCGUGGAAGGCGUCAGGUGAUAUUGUGUACAACCGUCCUGCUGCAGUUGUAUGUGGCAGCUCUGAUGCGGGGCCUAGCACUCAUGCUAGGUUUUAUGAGCCUAUCUGUUGCCAGCUUCCUGCCUGUGAUGAUGAGUUGAGACAUUCACAGGAAGAAAAAUGCGGUCGAUAUGAGAAGGAUGUUGAGCAUAUUUUGGAUGAAAUGAACCGUCAGGACGCUGGCGUCGGCGCUGAUAAUGCUGGAGUGGAAUCUUCUGGUGUCCAUGGAUCUAGGGACGAUGGAAUUGGUCAGACUGGAGUUGUUGCUUGUGAUGUGCACAAAGAUUACUACGAUGGCUCUGGGAAGGAUGAGGUCUUGGCUGAUGCAUCGUCCCCUCCGGAUGUUGUAGCUGAUAAGCAUGAAGAUUCUGAUGUUGGCAUUGAAAAGCCGCUGGAGAAUGUCAUUCCUGCUGGUAGUGUUGCUGCUUCUCCUGUUUGUCUUGCGGCCAACGAUGUUCCUGAAGUAUCCAGAGUGGAACCUCAUGUAGCUGAAGUAUCUAAGGACGUUGCGGUUGACCAGACUGUUGUAAAUCCAAAGAAUGCUUAUGUUGCUACAGAAGGGCAGUCCAAUGACGAACUUCCUGUUGUGACACCGUCAAGCAUUGAUCCAACCCUUCUGAAAAGAUACAAUGAGUUGUACACUGCUGUUACGAGGGCUCGGAAGGACAAGAAGAAGGACAUGGUUGCUUUUAAAACUGGAAUGGCUAAUAUUACCAUUGGCGAAGUUGGUUUUGAUGGGGGGCUUCAUGAAGGCUGUACGUCACUGUUUGAGUCCCAGGGUUCUGAUGUGGUUAUGCAGGAUUGUGCCCUUGAAAUCUCUCCAGAUAAUUCUGGUUCUUUGGCUGGAGAUGGUUUGAACACAGAUGUGGCGCCUGGACCUGACGGUGGAAGUCUUUCUCGACAUAGCUCUCCACACGAUAUAUUUGAUGUUGAUGAUGAUGAUUUUGUUACGCCGUGCCCACGCGUCACUAGGACUAGGAGUGCAUCAAUUAAUCGUCCUCCUGUGGAUGAGGCUGAAGUAUUUUCGAACAAGAGGGCGGGUGAGAGGGCUUUUAAGUUGAGAUGCUCUAUAGAGAAAUUGAAGCCUCUGAGGUUCAAAUAUAUUGAUGAGGCGAGGAAAAUAAAGAAUCUCGUUCUCAGCAAAGAUUUUGUAACCAAAUACCACGAGAACGCGUUCUUUAUGGUGAAUAGUCCUUUUGGUGAUGUUGACAAUUACAAUGUUGACUAUAUCUAUAAUACAUUUGGCAAAGGAGCUUUAAUGGACUCAUAUCUCAUGGAUUUUGUCAUCAAUUACUGGAAGCAAGACCCUGAAUUGGGUUUAGUUUAUCGUUCUAGUGAACGUGUGCUUCUUUCACCUUUAUUUAUCACGUAUGUUCUUCAAAUGGAAACCUUUGUGAAGAGAGAUGAUGAAUUAAACCCUGUGUUGCCAGUUGUGCAUAGCUCGUUUGUUUUAGAAGAUGCAGUUAAGCAGUUCAAGGUUUUUGUGAGCGUCGACGAAAACCUGUUGGACGCACAACUGAUUAUGAUGCCGCGCUCCAAGGAUGGUCAUUAUUCCUUAUACACGAUGAACCAGCAUCGCCAGACGAUUGAUAUCCAUGACACUAGGAAGUAUACUGGCCAUCCUGAUGUCAUGACAAAGUGGCGCAGGACUGACUACCACUCAGAUUGCACUGAAGUGCCUGCUGUUGAAGAUUGGAAGGCAGAGUACAUGUUCCAGUUGUUGUUCAAUCCUUCGAACAUGUUGUAUUAUGAAGACAUGCCGCCUGAGCUAUGA
RNAcentral lists this ribosomal RNA (3288 nucleotides) under Triticum aestivum (bread wheat). RNAcentral describes it as "partial small subunit ribosomal RNA". The record is from RNAcentral. Lineage: Eukaryota; Viridiplantae; Streptophyta; Magnoliopsida; Poales; Poaceae.